RNAcentral lists this transfer RNA (59 nucleotides) under Phedimus kamtschaticus. RNAcentral's name for it is "partial tRNA-Leu". RNAcentral also lists the same sequence under 2 other names. The record is from RNAcentral. Lineage: Eukaryota; Viridiplantae; Streptophyta; Magnoliopsida; Saxifragales; Crassulaceae.
CAAGGAAAUUGAUAGUAAAAGGAAAAUCCGUCGACUUUAGAAAUCGUGAGGGUUCAAGU